GGUGAGGUUUUAUUUCCCACUUUUCCUUUCUCCUUCUUCUCGAAUGUUCUCUCUCUGUCUCUUACUUCGACCUCCAUUGUUGUGCAAUCCAAGCUUGAGCCAACCUUUACUUUGAGCAAUUAACAUGGUAUCAGAGCCUAGUCAUUCCAAUAUAUCAUCUCUCAAUUAUCCAUUUCUCCUUUGUGUUCGUCGAUUUUGCCUUUUUCCUCAAUUCGAUUGAUUUCUGAGAGCGGUUUCGUUUUUGCCCUAAUUGAUUGUCUGAGAAGGGUCUUUUUUUCCCAAAGUGUAAUACUAACACAAUUAAUCUCAAUCACUCAUGGCCGUUGAUGAUUUGAGUGAUGUGGCCAGCACAAAUGUGCACAUCGAAGUUCCAUGAAAUUCCGGAAUCAAUCAAGGUGAUCCCUUGUAUCUGCACCCGUUGGAUAAUCCCAGUGCUAUCAUUGUUUCCAUUCCUUUCAGUGGUGUUGAUUAUCAUUUAUGGAGGCGUAGUGUAUUGCGAGGCCUGUCAGUAAAAAACAAGCUAGGGUUUAUAAAUAGUGAAUGCAAGCGUCUGGACCCUCACUCACCAUAUUGCGUCAAUGGGAGCGAUGUGAUGACACAGUGACUUCAUGGAUUCUUAAUUCCCUGUCGAAGGAAAUUGCAGAUAGUGUUGAAUAUGCAAAUGAUGCUAUGGAGCUGUGGAUUGAGCUAGAAGAUCAGUAUGAGCAGACAAAUGGAGCUUGACUGUACCAAAUCCAAAAGGAAAUAAACGAUACAUCUCAGUGAACUCUUGAUAUUACUAAUUACUACACCAAAUUGAAGAAACUCUGGGAAGAAUUGAGCACCUUGAGUAAAAAAGUCUCAAUGCAGUUGCAACUGUACUUGUGGCGCGAAGGAAAAUUUCUACAAAGCUGAGCAGGACAGGAGACUAAUACAAUUCCUCAUGGGGUUGAAUGAAACCUACACAGUGAUUGGAGGAAGCAUCCUCAUGACGAACCCAUUACCAAGCUUAGCUCAAGCUUUUUCUAUCCUAAUACAAGAUGAAAAGCAAAGGGAAAUCAAGCCACACACUCAGCUAUUUAUCAAAUCAACUUCUAUGAAUGCUGCUAGUUCUAGGUCCAAUACUUAUAGGACCAACUAUUUGUUCAAUAACAACAACUAUGGUAGACAAGGAAGGGGAAGACCUAUAUGUGAUUACUACAGAAAGCCAGGGCAUACUAAGGAAAAAUGUUUCAAAUUACAUGGCUACCCUGAGAGUUCUAGAUAUCCUCGCAAUCAAAAUCAAAAUCCAAACCAAAACUCCAACCAGAAUCAGGGAUUCAAUCGGAACCAGAAUUAUAACAAGGGAAAGAGAAUAGUGGCAAAUGUACAUGGAAAUCAGUCCUCUGACAUGUUAUCCAACAAGGGAGAAGAACAAAAUGAUUUGAAUGAAGAACAGAACAUUAGCCUGUCAAAGGAGCAAUAUGGGCAAAUCAUGAAUCUGCUCCAACACUUUCAAGCUGGGAAUUGAGGAGAGAAUGCAGGUGCCACCAAUCUUAUCGAUAGGGCUGUGAACUUUAUAGGCCCCUUCAAUGAAGAGGCAUCUGGAGAUUGGUAAGGCUUGUGAUGGGAUGUACCUUCUUUGCCCAAAAUGUCUGAGAAACAAGUACUCAGGUUCUACCGUUAGCAACUCAGUUUCUUGCCUUGGUAAUAAGGCUCAUUGCACACAUAACUUACACUUUCACAUUGAUUCAUUUGUAUGUAGUUCAUUGUCCACAAAUAAGUGUGUAUCUUAUCCACCUGUAAAUGGUCCAUGUUUGAAUAAUAAAAACCUUAGUCUGAAUUUUUGUGUA
This is a long non-coding RNA of Nicotiana attenuata, 1811 nucleotides long. RefSeq lists it as uncharacterized. The transcript has 2 exons. The record is from RefSeq and is a predicted model, not a curated record. Lineage: Eukaryota; Viridiplantae; Streptophyta; Magnoliopsida; Solanales; Solanaceae.